GAGCAACUGAUUUGUAAUCAGUAGGUCGUUGGUUCGACUCCGACAAUCGGCACCA
RNAcentral lists this transfer RNA (55 nucleotides) under Alphaproteobacteria bacterium. Its description in RNAcentral is "tRNA-Ser". It matches the Rfam family "tRNA", at positions 21 to 71 of the family's 71-position model. Rfam says of the family: Transfer RNA (tRNA) molecules are approximately 80 nucleotides in length. Their secondary structure includes four short double-helical elements and three loops (D, anti-codon, and T loops). Lineage: Bacteria; Pseudomonadati; Pseudomonadota; Alphaproteobacteria. The record is from RNAcentral.